CCAGAGGGCCGGGCGAUCGCUGGCCUGCGCUGACGCUGCGGUUGACUUGAACAUGGACUUGUCAAUCGAGCCUUUGCGCAGGGGAGAGGAAAGUCCGGGCACCAUGGGACUGCGGUGCCGGGUAACACCCGGCGGUCCGCGCGCAAGCGGGGAUCAGGGACAGUGCCACAGAAAGCAUUCCGCCCGCCUUCGGACGGGUCAGGUCGAAAGGGUGCGGUAAGAGCGCACCGCGGGACUGGAAACAGGACCGGCACGGUAAACCCCACCGGGUGCAAGACCGAAUAGGGGCGGCAUAUGGGCCUGGUCCUGGCCCGUCGCCCGGGUUGGUCGCUUGAGGGGCAGGGCAACCUGUCCCCUAGAGGAAUGAUCGCCCAUCCGUCCUUCGGGCCGGUGGACAGAACCCGGCUUACAGGCCCUCUGGCAAC
Molecule: RNase P RNA, 425 nt
Filed under: Sphingomonas lutea
Lineage: Bacteria; Pseudomonadati; Pseudomonadota; Alphaproteobacteria; Sphingomonadales; Sphingomonadaceae
Description: Sphingomonas sp. JS5(2011) Bacterial RNase P class A
Rfam family: Bacterial RNase P class A
About the family: Ribonuclease P (RNase P) is a ubiquitous endoribonuclease, found in archaea, bacteria and eukarya as well as chloroplasts and mitochondria. Its best characterised activity is the generation of mature 5'-ends of tRNAs by cleaving the 5'-leader elements of precursor-tRNAs.
Source: Rfam by way of RNAcentral